CACCUCCAUCUCCUCCCAGCCGCCAUCAUGAUCAUCUACCAGGACCUCAUCAGCCAUGAUGAGGUGUUCUCCGAUAUCCACAAGAUCCAGGAGAUUGAAGACGGGCUGUGCCAGGAGGUAGAGGGGAAGAUGGUCAGUAGGACAGAGGGUAACAUUGAUGACUCGCUUAUUUGGUAGAAAUGCUUCCACUGAAGGCCCUGGGGGCGAAGGUACCGAAAGCACAAUAAUCACUGGUGUUGACAUUGUCAUGAACCAUCACUUGCAGGAAACGAGCUUCACAAAAGAAACCGACAAGAAGUACAUCAAAGAUUACAUGAAAUCAAUCAAAGGGAAGCUUGAAGAACAGAGACCAGAAAGAGUAAAGCCUUUUAUGACAGGGGCUGCAGAACAAAUCAAGCACAUCCUUGCCAAUUUCAAAAACUACCAGUUCUUUAUUGGUGAAAACAUGAAUCCAGAUGGCAUGGUUGCUCUGCAGGACUACCAUGAGGAUGGUGUGACCCCAUAUAUGAUUUUCUUUAAGGAUGGUUUAGAAAUGGAGUUGUCCAACAUUUGGCCAAAAUGGUUGGGCUUUUAUGCCUGUGUAGCCAACAGCCACUGGAAGUGA
Myotis brandtii (Brandt's bat) is the source of this 604-nucleotide RNA transcript. It is a transcript of the gene named translationally-controlled tumor protein pseudogene, with no coding region annotated. NCBI's taxonomy places the organism in Eukaryota, Metazoa, Chordata, Mammalia, Chiroptera, Vespertilionidae. The record is from RefSeq and is a predicted model, not a curated record. The transcript is spliced from 2 exons.